AAACCCUGAUUUCCCAAGUCACUGAUGCAGUAUGCAAUGAGUAUGACCUAGUAUGAUGCUAAUGCAAUGUGAAACACAAUCCCAUGCUUCCAAGAAAAAUGAAGGGUAAAUUUUGGGGUAUUAAAACCCUGAUUUCCCAAGUCACUGAUGCAGUAUGCAAUGAGUAUGACCUAGUAUGAUGCUAAUGCAAUGUGAAACACAAUCCCAUGCUUCCAAGAAAAAUGAAGGGUAAAUUUUG
Molecule: long non-coding RNA, 238 nt
Filed under: Lathyrus oleraceus (garden pea)
Lineage: Eukaryota; Viridiplantae; Streptophyta; Magnoliopsida; Fabales; Fabaceae
Description: Pisum sativum (pea) long non-coding RNA (PSAT_LNC041784)
Source: RNAcentral